This 318-nucleotide ribosomal RNA is filed under the name uncultured bacterium. RNAcentral's name for it is "partial 16S ribosomal RNA". It matches the Rfam family "Bacterial small subunit ribosomal RNA", at positions 355 to 665 of the family's 1533-position model. The record is from RNAcentral.
UGGGGAAUAUUGCACAAUGGGCGCAAGCCUGAUGCAGCCAUGCCGCGUGUGUGAAGAAGGCCUUCGGGUUGUAAAGCACUUUCAGCGAGGAGGAAGGGUUCAGUGUUAAUAGCACUGUUCAUUGACGUUACUCGCAGAAGAAGCACCGGCUAACUCCGUGCCAGCAGCCGCGGUAAUACGGAGGGUGCAAGCGUUAAUCGGAAUUACUGGGCGUAAAGCGCACGCAGGCGGUUUGUUAAGUCAGAUGUGAAAUCCCCGCGCUUAACGUGGGAACUGCAUUUGAAACUGGCAAGCUAGAGUCUUGUAGAGGGGGGUAGA